This 76-nucleotide transfer RNA is filed under the name Gimesia aquarii. RNAcentral describes it as "tRNA-Asp". It matches the Rfam family "tRNA". From Rfam's summary of the family: Transfer RNA (tRNA) molecules are approximately 80 nucleotides in length. Their secondary structure includes four short double-helical elements and three loops (D, anti-codon, and T loops). Lineage: Bacteria; Pseudomonadati; Planctomycetota; Planctomycetia; Planctomycetales; Planctomycetaceae. The record is from RNAcentral.
GUCCUCAUGGAGCAGUCCGGAAUGCUCGUCUGCCUGUCACGCAGAAGGUCACGGGUUCAAAUCCCGUUGAGGACGC